AGUGAACGCUGGCGGUAGGCCUAACACAUGCAAGUCGAACGGCAGCACAGUAAGAGCUUGCUCUUACGGGUGGCGCGUGGCGGACGGGUGAGGAAUACAUCGGAAUCUACUUUUUCGUGGGGGCUAACGCAGGGAAACUUACGCUAAUACCGCAUACGACCUACGGGGGAAAGCAGGGGAUCUUCGGACCUUGCGCGAUUGAAUGGGCCGAUGUCGGAUUAGCUAGUUGGCGGGGUAAAGGCCCACCAAGGCGACGAUCCGUAGCUGGUCUGAGAGGAUGAUCAGCCACACUGGAACUGAGACACGGUCCAGACUCCUACGGGAGGCAGCAGUGGGGAAUAUUGGACAAUGGGCGCAAGCCUGAUCCAGCCAUACCGCGUGGGUGAAGAAGGCCUUCGGGUUGUAAAGCCCUUUUGUUGGGAAAGAAAAGCAGCAGGUUAAUACCCCGCUGUUCUGACGGUACCCAAAGAAUAAGCACCGGCUAACUUCGUG
RNAcentral lists this ribosomal RNA (492 nucleotides) under uncultured bacterium. Its description in RNAcentral is "partial 16S ribosomal RNA". It matches the Rfam family "Bacterial small subunit ribosomal RNA", at positions 29 to 507 of the family's 1533-position model. The record is from RNAcentral.